RNAcentral lists this transfer RNA (65 nucleotides) under Gammaproteobacteria bacterium. RNAcentral describes it as "tRNA-Met". It matches the Rfam family "tRNA", at positions 5 to 66 of the family's 71-position model. From Rfam's summary of the family: Transfer RNA (tRNA) molecules are approximately 80 nucleotides in length. Their secondary structure includes four short double-helical elements and three loops (D, anti-codon, and T loops). Lineage: Bacteria; Pseudomonadati; Pseudomonadota; Gammaproteobacteria. The record is from RNAcentral.
GGGUGGAGCAGUCUGGUAGCUCGUCGGGCUCAUAACCCGAAGGUCGUUGGUUCAAAUCCAGCCCC